Molecule: ribosomal RNA, 463 nt
Filed under: uncultured bacterium
Lineage: Bacteria
Description: partial 16S ribosomal RNA
Rfam family: Bacterial small subunit ribosomal RNA
Source: RNAcentral
GAUGAACGCUGACAGAAUGCUUAACACAUGCAAGUCUUUGGCGAAUCUGUGCUUGCACAGGCUAGCCAAGGCGGACGGGUGAGUAACGCGUAAAGAACUUGCCCUGCAGACAGGGAUAACAGACGGAAACGACUGAUAACACCUGAUACAGUUGCCGGCACGCAUGUGCCUGGCAAUGAAAAGAGAUGCUGCAGGAGAGCUUUGCGUCCUAUUAGCUUGUUGGUGAGGUGACGGCUCACCAAGGCGAUGAUAGGUAGCCGGCCUGAGAGGGUGAACGGCCACAAGGGGACUGAGAUACGGCCCUUACUCCUACGGGAGGCAGCAGUGGGGAAUAUUGGACAAUGGGGGCAAGCCUGAUCCAGCAAUUCUGUGUGCACGAAGAAGGUUUUCGGAUUGUAAAGUGCUUUCAGCAGGGAAGAAGAAAGUGACGGUACCUGCAGAAGAAGCGACGGCUAAAUACGUG